AUGUUGAAGAGUAUCUAUGAGCUAAGAAUGUUUAGGAGAGUAACUCUGCUCUGGAGCAAUCUCCAGAACAGAAUUCCUGCUCCAGCCUCAAGAUCUCCAACACUGCAAUCUAGGACCUGCAACUGUUCGUCCUUGCAAACAACCGAGUUCUUCUUCUGGAAUGCCUUGGAGACAAGAGACCAUUUUGGCACUGCGAUUUGUUGGACAAGAGGUGUACUGUUGACUCGAGGAGAGAGGUGGUGA
Molecule: ribosomal RNA, 243 nt
Filed under: Triticum aestivum (bread wheat)
Lineage: Eukaryota; Viridiplantae; Streptophyta; Magnoliopsida; Poales; Poaceae
Description: partial small subunit ribosomal RNA
Source: RNAcentral